GGGAUCNNNNNNUUNCAUACUAGGGCGAUUGAUUAGCGGCCGCGAAUCGCCCUUUACUGGAUGAUUCUGCCAGCAGUCAUAUGCUUGUCUCAUAGAUUAACCCAUGCAUGUCUAAGUAUAAGCAACUUUGUACUGUGAAACUGCGAAUGGCUCAUUAAAUCAUUUAUAGUUUAUUUGAUGGUUUUUGCUACAUGGAUAACUGUGGUAAUUCUAGAGCUAAUACAUGCAUUCUAGCCCCAACUUCUGGAAAGGAUGUAUUUAUUAGAUAAAAAUCAACUUUGUUGAUGAAUCAUAAUAACUUCUCGGACCGCAUGGCCACAUGCUGGCAGUGCUUCAUUCAAAUAUCUGCCCUAUCAACUGUCCAUGGAAAGAUAGAGGCCUACCAUGGUUGCUACUGGCAACGAGUAAUAAUGGUUCGAUUCCGGAGAGGGAUCCUGAGAAACGGCUACCACAUCCAACGAAGGCAGCUAGCUCGCAAAUUACCCACUCCCACCACGGCGAAGUAGUGACAAUAUGUAACACUAUACGGUCUUAUACGUCAUAUAAUUGCAAUGAUUACAAUUUAAAUCACUUAUCGAUCAACAAUUGCAUGGCAAGUCUGGAGCCGGCAACCUUCCUCAUUCCAACUCCAAUAGCGUAUAUUACACUUGUUGCAGUUAAGAACCUCCUACUUGGACCUUGAACCUGGACAGGCGGACCGUCUCACGGCCAGAACUGUCUUGCUGGAUCUCUCGUCAUUGUGAUAUGUUAGUUCAGCAGAAAGGACGACCGAUCUUUACUUUGAAUAGAUUACAGUGUAUCAAACAAGCUCGACUCCUCAAUAUAUUAGCACGGACCAUCAAUCUUGACGUGCGGAUCUUCCUUGUUGAAUGCUGUCAUCGACGUAUGACUCAUANGAACAGACAGUGUCACUACUACUCACAUGCUACAAGUGCAACUCAUGGAUCUGUGAACACUAACUCUGUGCAAGCAUUAGCCNAAGAGAUCUCAUCACUCAGAUCGUAAGUCAGGCUAUCAAUACGAUAGAUACCGUGCUAUCAUACCAUAUCUAUCCAGAUAGGGACUGUUCACGUUUCUUUUGACCGAUCGCACUAUAAAGAACUCAAAUUUUGGUCCCGG
Molecule: ribosomal RNA, 1119 nt
Filed under: uncultured eukaryote
Lineage: Eukaryota
Description: bacterial SSU rRNA
Rfam family: Eukaryotic small subunit ribosomal RNA
Source: RNAcentral